This is a long non-coding RNA of Asparagus officinalis (garden asparagus), 510 nucleotides long. RefSeq lists it as uncharacterized. The record is from RefSeq and is a predicted model, not a curated record. The transcript has 3 exons. Lineage: Eukaryota; Viridiplantae; Streptophyta; Magnoliopsida; Asparagales; Asparagaceae.
UUUUUUCGUUACUCAGAAUCAGAGAAUUCUAAAGCCCUAAAAUUCCCUUCCUUCUCCAUUCUAUCGGUUAGGAUUUUCCUCUGGCAACUCAUUCCCACUCUCUAUGUCUCAUCAAUUGGCGGUUACGAAAUUGAACAGAUGCUUAGUAUUAUUAUCCUAAUCAUCCCGAAACCUUCUGUUCCAUCUUCUCCUCAAAUAUCAGAUUUUAGGCAUCAACAAGGAUGAGGAAGUGAACAAAUUGGGCAAACUUUUUAUAAGAGGAAAUUUUCUGGUUUCAGAGGGCAAAGCCGGUGACAAUUGAUCUAGGGCUAUACAUUUCGAAGAAGCAGGAUAUGUUCUGGAUUACUCAGCGGAGGAGUGUGCCCACUGCCUUUAAACUCUUUACAGGAACAAAACUGCUCUUCGGCCCGGGCUUGGUGCGAUUAGGCUCGAGAGGCUUAUGACUUAUUGAACCACAGUGAAUUGGGAUGAAAUUUCUUUGUAACUAAAGAGUAAUUUAUAAGAGUUAUG